AUCCAGCUGAGGAGUCCCAAAUAGGACCAAACGCGCGUUCCGGAU
Molecule: non-coding RNA, 45 nt
Organism: Schistosoma mansoni
Lineage: Eukaryota; Metazoa; Platyhelminthes; Trematoda; Strigeidida; Schistosomatidae
Source: Rfam